AGGAAAAGGAAUGGAAUUUGAUGACUUUGUGUUUGAUUACAUUGAAGCUCCAUAUAUAGGCUUGUUCACUCCUGAUGAUAUAUAUGUUGGCAAGGUUUUGCCUAUCUAUUUUCCUGUUCGAGACCGUUCUUCUUACCUUCCUUUCACCAUUCAAAAGGAAAUGGUUGAUUCUUCCAUUACUUAUCCAUUGUCUGACCUGCCAAAGAUUUUCCAGCCCUUAUCUGUACUCGAUGAUUCUCUACUCAAAAUCCAACCUGAUGCUGAUAAAUGUGAAAUUCAACCUGAUGAAGCUGAAACCAAAGUCUGUAUUAGAAAUAUGGAAUCAAUUAGUGAAUUUAUCAGUCGUGUUUUUGGAUCAGAAGGGAGUUUCAGAAUUGUGGAAACUAAACAAGCUGAAAUAUCUACUGCCUCGUUACAAGAAUAUACUGUUGUGGAAGAUCCACGAGAGAUUCAAGGUCCAAGAAAGGUAUUCUGUCAUCCUAUGUCUGAUGCUUUCUACUGCCAUUGUUCUAUCGAAACCACGGUUCUGAAGGUCUCAUUAGGUACUGAAAACGGAGAUAAAAUGGAAGCAAUUGGUGUUUGCCAUAUGCACACUUCAGGACAAAAUCCUGAUGAUAUUCUUCAUCACUUGCUUAAAAUCAAGCCUGGAACAACAACCCCUGUAUGCCAUUUCUUGCCAGAUGGUCAUUUUGUCUGGGUUCAAUCAGCUACUCUAAAGAAGGCUUCUUAGAUAAGAGGCUCUGUGCUAUUAGCAAGACUAUCUAGCUACCAUGCAUGUGUGCAAUUAACCAUAAAAAUAAUUGAUGAUGAUCCUGGAAAGCAAAAAUGUUAGAUCUACACCAAUGUAUUUAAGUGUGGUUUAAGCUUAAUAUGUUGUUUAUCACAAUAUAUUGUGAUAGAAUUUGUUCUGUAUUUCUUUAGUGGAACUCUAUGUGUGAUAGAUUUUUGUUAUCUUCCAUCUUCCAGUGAUUGCUAAUCUCUUUCUCUCUCUAUUUGUUACUUCUGCAAAUAUAUAUAUAUAUUAUUGGCAGUUGGUAAUUACUAACUAGUGGAGAAAUUUUGAAAUAAAUUCCGUCUAUCAUAUUAAAUUAAUUAUAUAAUAAUUAUGUUAUUAUAGUUUUUUUUUUUACUUUUUUUCUCUAUAUAAAUAUAAAAUUCAAAUUCGAUAUAUAUCUAAAAGAUUAAUAUUUAGAUUUUCAUCCAACACUAUGGGAUGGUAUAAUGAAUGGUAAAUUGUAUUAGAAAUCAAAAAAUAAUAACAGACUAUUUGAUAUAUAAAAAUAGGUGAUACAAUUGAAUUGAAUUUUAUUUAUUAACUAAUCGAAGUAGACUACGUAUGACUUCUGUCUUGGAAGGAACACUUAAGCAUUAUAUGUGUGGACAUUUUCAAAAUCAUUAAUUAAAAAGGUGUACUGCUUAUCAGGAAAACUAAAAAAAGAAAAGAAAAAAAGAAACAGUGAAUGAAAAAUUCAAACAAACAUGACUAUGGCCAAAAGUCCUUUGAAGAAAGCAUAUUGGAGGUCUAAUGGUGAGUGAAUUACAUUAAAAAGAAAAUUAUCUCUUUAUUCUCAUUGAAAUGUAUAUAGUGCAAUAAAUAAUAUUAAAUUUUAAUAUUGAAAUAAUUGACAAAUUAUUUCUUUUGGAUUUUGAUAUUUUUUGGACGCGUAAAAUUUUAAAUUUUUAGCUCGGUAUAAUUUUGUUUGUACUUUAUAAAUUAUUUUAUAAUUUUAGAAAAUAUUAUUACUGUUAAUUAUUAAUUAUUAAUAAUUUAAUUUAAUUAAUUAUAAUUUAAUUAUAAAUAUUAUAAAUUAAUUUGUAUGAUUAAUUAUUAUUCUGAUUUAUGAUUGAUGUGAUUGUGUAUAAUUAGUUUCAAUACUAGCAAAUUGCUCGUGGGUUGGUUGAGAAUUAAAUAUUUAUGCCGAGCAGAUAAAUAAUUUUAUGGUUUGAAUUGCGUUGCGGAGUCGGGGCAAAAUAAUACAGUUUUAGUGGCUCGACUCCCGUUAAAUAAUUGCGGAAUAUUCAGAGUGUUUCUAGUAGAUUCUAGAUCUGUUUUACGGAGGGUAAACGUCUAUAUUUUGGGGAGGUUUUGCCGAAUUUUCAGUAAAAUUUCCAAGUCUGCUACUCUGAGGCUAGAGUUUUGUUAGACCGUGGGGCUAUCCAUUCCUUGAUAUCGCCCAGUUUUGCUUUAAGGUUCGAUGUUCAACCGGUUAGACUUCAGGUUCCUAUAUUGGUCAUUACGCCAUUAAGUGAUGCUUUAGAGACCGAUGUUGUAUUUCCAUCGUGUCAGGGAGGAUCGAGAUUUGAUUUCUAAUUUAAUUCUAUUUGAUAUAAUAGAUUUUGACGUAAUUUUGAGAAUGGAUUGGUUGGCUAUGCAUUAUGCCAUGUUGGACUACAAGAAAAAGCAAGUAACUUUUCUUAUUCCUGGAGACUCAGAGUUUUGUUUUAAAAGCGAGCAGAUACCUACUCUAUCGAAUCUCAUGUCAGCCAUUACGGCUAAAAGGAUGCUUCGACGUGGGUGUUAGGGAUAUCUGGCAUUAGUCAGGGAUACCUCGACAGAAAAAGGUAGAAUUAAGGACGUACAAGUGGUAUACGAGUUUCCGAUGUAUUUUCAGAAAAGCUACAAGGAGUGCCGCCUGAUAGAGAGAUAGAGUUAUGUAUCGAUGUGGUACCGGGUGCGACACCUAUUUCUUUAGCACCCUACCAAAUGGCACCAACCAAGUUAAAGGAGUAGUUGUCGGACCUCCUGGAUAAGGAUUUUAUCAGACCCAGUAAGUUUCCGUGAGGUGCUCCUGUUCUAUUCGUGAAGAAGAAAGAUGGUACUUUGCGCCUCUAUAUUGACUACAGGCAGCUGAAUAAAGCGACGGUUCAUAACAAGUAUCUGCUUCCUCGCAUUGAUGAUCUAUUUGAUUAGCUUCAAGGAGCCUUAUGCUUCUCCAAGAUUGAUUUACGAUUGAGGUAUCCCGAGUUGAGGAUCUGUGAGGAAGACAUUCCGAAGGAGUUAUGGGCAUUAUGAGUUCCUGAUAAUGUCGUUUGGAUUCACUAAUGCUCCUGCAACUUUCAUGGAUCUGAUGAAUCGAGUGUCCAAGCCGUUCCUAGAUCAUUUUUUCAUUAUAUUCAUUGGUGAUAUUUUAGUGUACUCUAGAAGCAAAGAGGAGCACGUGUGGCAUCUGAGAAUGGUACUUCAAACGUUAAGGAGGAGCAUCAGUUGUACGCUAAGUUAUCCAAGUGUGAAUUUUGGUUAGAAAGCAUUGCUUUUUUCUAGGUCAUGUUGUGUCUAGAGAGGGUAUUCAAGUGGAUCCCAAGAAAAUAGAGGUAGUGACUGACUCGCAGAAACCGACCAUAGUGACAGAGGUUCGUAGCUUUCUGAGUUUGGUAAGCUACUACCGUCGAUUCGUGCAAGAGUUUUUAAGAAUCGUAAUGCCUUUAACUAAGAUGACUUAGAAGAACGUUAGAUUCCAGUGGACUGACGAGUGUGAAAGAAGUUUUCAGAGACUGAAAGAACAUUUAAUUUCAGCUCCAGUGUUAACCUUACUCUUUGGGACUGGUGGAUUCACAGUGUAUUAUGACGCUUCCAGAGUGGGUCUGGGUUGCGUUCUAAUACAACAUGGUAAUAUAAUGGCUUAUGCAUCCAGGCAAUUGAAGAGGCAUGAACAGAAUUACCAUACUCAUGAUUUGGAGAUGGCAGCAAUAAUCUUUGCCCUAAAAAUCUGGAGGCACUAUCUCUACGGGGAGACAUGCGAGAUAUAUGAUUGUAGUAUUCUCUACCAUCUAGGUAAAGUGAAUGUUUUGGCAGAUGUCUUGAGCAGGAAGUCAGCAAGUAACCUUGCUCACAUCAGUACAGAGAAGAGACCUCUAACCAAAGAGUUGCACGAAUUAUGCGACCAAGGGUUGUAAAGUGAGCUAUUAGAAUCGGGAGCACUGUUGGCACAUUUCAGUGUUAGAUUUGUGCUUGUUAAAAAAAUCAAGUUAGCUCAGAGUUAGGACCCACAAUUAAAAAAAAAUCUUGGAAGAAGUGCAACAGGAUCGAGCUAAUAAUUUUGUUAUAGAUGAUGACGGUACUCUCAAGAUGGGCACUAGGCUGUGUGUUCCCAAUAUGGAUAAUCUCAGAAAAUAGAUUUUAGAAGAGGCUCACUGUAUAGCUUACAGCGUGCAUCCAGGUUCUACCAUGAUAUAUCACAAUUUGAAAGGUAAUUAUUGGUGGAAUGGAAUAAAAAGGGAUAUGGCAAAGUUUGUCUCCAAGUGUCUAACGUGUCAGCAGGUUAAACUAGAGCAUCAGAAGCCAUUAGGGUUAUUGCAACCGCUUCCCAUACCAGAGUGGAAAUAGGAAAGGAUUACUAUGAAUUUUAUUUCGAAUUUACCCAAGACUUCGGCUGGUUAUGACUCUAUCUGGAUAAUUAUGGACUGAUUGACUAAGUCAUCGCAUUUCCUUCUUGUAAAGACUACUUAUUUUGUGGCUAAGUAUGCAUGAGUGUAUCUAAAGAGAAUUGUCAGUCAGGGGACCACAGUUCGCUUCAAGAUUUUGGAGAAAGCUACAAAAAGAGCUUGGUACUAUAUUGGACUUCAGUACAGCCUUUCACCCCAAACUGAUGGACAAUCGGGGAUGACAAUUCAAACCUUAGAGAAAAUGUUUCCGAUGUGCGUGAUAAACUUUGAUGGUCAGUGGGAUUAGUACCUACCAUUGAUUGAGUUCGCUUAUAACAACAGCUACCAUGCAAACAUUGAGAUGGCCCCUUAUGAGGCAUUGUACGGCUGGAAGUGCAGAUAUCCUGUGUGUUGGAAAGAAGUUGGCGAACGAAAGUUAGCAGGACCAGAAUUGGUUCAUAUCACUUCAGAGAAGAUUCAUAUUCUCCGUGAGUGGUAGAAGACAGCUUUCAAUAGGCAGAAGAGUUAUAUGGACCCAAAGUAGAAGCAUGUGGAGUUAAGUAUUAAGGAGUAUGUGCUCUUAAAGGUGUUCCCUAUGCGUGGUGUGAUGCGGUUUGGAAAGAAAGGCAAGUUGGCCCCUCAUUAUGUGGGACACUUUGAGAUUAUUAACAGGAUUGAAGAGGUAGCAUACAAGUUGGACUUAGCGCCAAAUUUCUCACAUGUACAUCCGGUAUUUCAUAUAUCCAUAUUGAGAAAGUAUAUUUCGGAUCCUUCGCAUAUAUUGCAGCCUCAAUAUGUGGAAGUAAGCGAAGACUUCACUUACGAGGAACAGGUCGUGGAUACUCCAGUUCGCCAACUACGCUCUAAGGUUAUACCGAUGGUUAAGGUGUUGUGACGGAAUCAUUCGUCAGAGGACUGUACCUUAGAACCGAGCAAGAGAUGAGGAACCUUUAGUCUCAUUUGUUUCAAUCUUGAAGUAAGCUUUGUUUCUUUCAAAACUUGAGGACGAAUUUUUUUCUUAAAAGGGAUAAAAUGUAAUACCCGUAAAUAAAAAAUAAAAAUAAAUAAAUAAUAAUAAUAAUGAUAAUAAUAAUAAUAAUAAUAUAUAAAACACAAAUUUUCCUUCUCCCCUCUUCCUCCCCCCCCCCCACCUUCCUCUCCUCCUCCCUUUCUUUUUUCCACCGCUGCUGCCACUAUCCAGCCGUCGGAAAUUCCUCCUUCUUCUUCCUCUCCCUUGCCAGUGUCGCCUCCUUCUUCCUUUCCUUUGCUGCCAACAUCGAGCUUGAAGAAAGGAAGCUGCCACUAAGCAACAACCGUCUACCACCCUUUUCUUGUAAAUCCGAUGCCGAAAAACGAGCUUCCCACGGUCAAAAACCUCUAAGCCAAGCUCCACUGCCGUUUUUUCCUCUGCCGGCGGCAGUAUAUAGCCUCGCCGAAAUUGAAACUUUCUAGCCUCGAUCCGGUGGCUUCCGGCAAGUUUUUGGCAAAAGCAUUUGUAUUUUCGAACUCCCUGCAACUCAAGCUUCAUGUAGGCGCUUCCGGAUUCAAAAUUUGAAACCGUUGGCGGUACCGGCUUUAGGACCUCGGUGUUUUUCGGACGCGUAGAAUUUCAGAUUUUCGGCUUAGUAUUAUUUUGUUUGAACCUUAUAAAUUAAUUAAUAAUUUUAGAAAAUACUAUUACUAUUAAUUGUAAAUUAUAAAUAAUUUAAUUUAAUUAGAUUUAUUUAAUUAUAACUUAGUUAUAAAUGUUAUAAAUUAAUUAGAAUGAUUAAUUAUUAUUCUGAUUUGUGAUUGUGUAAUAUUAGUUUAAAUACUAGCGAAUUUCUUGUGGGUUGGUUGAGAGUUAAAUGUUUUUGCCGAGCAGAUAAAUAAUUUUGUGGUUUGAAUUACGUUGUGGAGUCGGAAAAAAAUAAUAUAGUCUUAGUUGCCCGACUCCCUUUAAAUAAUUGCAGAAUGUUUGAAGUGUUUCUAGCAGAUUCUGUACCCGUUUUACGGGAGGUAAACGUCCAUAUUUAGGGGACGUUCUACCGAAUUUUUGGUAGAAUUUUCGAGUCGGAAUUUCUUAGGCAGUCUAAUCUAGGAGUCUAACCUAGGAAAAAAUAAGAAUAUCUUAUUAAUUGAGUUAUUUUCAUGAAUAGAUAAUCCAUCCAACCAGCUAGCUCCACCUGAGGCGUAGGAGCAGACUGCAGAGCGCGGCAGGACUGUGAGUUAAAGUCAUAUAAUCAACUGAUUUUAUGUCAUGUCUAAAUAAAAUGCAUUGUUAAUUAAUUAAUUAUUAUUAUAAUCAUUAUUAGCAUUAUUAUUAGGAAUUUUAUUUGAUUAAAAAUUAUUACGAUUAUUAUUAUUAAUUUUAUUUUCAUUAUUAUCGAUAUCAUUAUUAAUAUUAUUAUCAUUAUUUUUGCUAUCAUAUUUAUUGUUAUUUUAAUAUUAUUAUUAUUAUUAUACUUAAUUUUUAUGUUUGCUAUACUCGAAACUAUUCAAUUUUAAUUCUUAAUAUGUUAUUGAAUAAUUAUGUUUACUUAUAAUUUGUACUAUUUACAAUUAUUACUGAUGUUAUGAUUAUAAUUUCAGGAUGAGGCGGCAGUAGAACAUGCCACCUGAUGGAUUGCAUUAGAACUGCAUGCGCACCGGUAUUAAAUAAAGACAUGUAGUAAAAGAAUAUUUUUUUAGGAUAUGCCCUGCUAUAGUAUAACUCUCUAGGCUAUAAAAAUUUUGAUCGUCGGAGGAAAGGUCUCUGGUCAAACGUUGCUCUUUGGGCACCGGCUUUAUUGGAAAUUAAGUGAUCAGGCUGGAUGAAAGGACCGUAGUCAAGCUUUGCUCUCUGGGCGCUAGUCUUAUUAGAAUAACAGAGUGGAAUGGCUAAUAGGAUUGGAGUUUAGGGUUCUACUGAGGUACUCGUCUCAUAAACAUUUAAAUUAUAUUUUUCUAAAUCAUGGCAUAUGACACAUGAUUUGAUAUAAUAUGAUAGUUUAUUCUGAUUAAAGAAAUAUUUUAAUGAGAUGGCUAUAUUUAUUUUAGAAUUAUAUGAUUUUAACUCAUUCUCGAGGCUAACAGUCUUAAUUUUAAAUUUUCAGGUGACAGGUAGGUUCUCCGUCGUCUUUCUCUUGAUAGCCCGACUUCCUUUUCUUUCAGGCCCAUUGUAAUUAAUUUUUAUUUUUUGCAUUUCGAACUAUUUAAAAAUCUAGACUCUCUGCAGUAGUGGUUUCAAAGCUUGAACAAUUUAUUUUAGUCUGUUAAAACUAUGGAAAAAUAUUAAGCGAUCAUGCUGGUAGAUUGAUUUAAUUAUGUUGUGGUCAUGCGAACGAAUUGUUGGUAUAUUUUAGUAGCAUAUAUAUAUAUAUAUGCAUAUCUAGAUUGUUGAUUAGUUAUGCUUGCUACGGAUUUUAGUGACCUUAAACCUAUCUAUUCCCUAGUGCUGAUCACAGUCCCACCCGACCUAUUCUCAAACUUUAAAUAGGUAGGACGGCACGGCUGCUUCGUUGAGCCGGGCCACGGAAUCGAGAGCUCCAAGUGGGCCAUUUUUGGUAAGCAGAACUGGCGAUGCGGGAUGAACCAGAAGCCGGGUUACGGUGAUACGACCUUGUGUGCCCAUGCAAGGCAGAUCCAAGAAUGUGUGCCUCGGCCGAAGGGGACGGCGCCUCAUGCGUCGGCAUGCUGCAAGGUUGACUAUUGCUUGGUUUCGGGCAUCUUAUGACAAUACAUCGCCAGCAAGGGCGAUGCCCAUGCUCCAUUUUUGAAUUUUUCCGAAAAUGGGCGCCGGUGGGCCUACCGUGUCCCGAAAAUUUUUCGAAAUCCGGAACGGGGCGGAGGGGGCUAGGGUGUUUGCGGGCCAAUUCCGUGAAUACCGAUGCCUAUCUUGCAGCCCAGACAUGCCCCCGUGCCCAGGCUCCCCAGCCCCCCUAGGGGGUGAGGCAUACUGCACCCCCCUAAAUAGGCUAAGAAGCAUGUUGAAGUAAUCGAAACAUAAUCUAUCACAAUUGUAUUAAUAAUAUCCAAGCACGCUACCAAUUUCUUAUAUCAUUGAGAUAAACGAGGUCAACAAUUUUAACAUUUUAAUAAUUUGGUAAGGACACAUAACAUGGAAAAUAUACAUUCUUUUUCUUCCUUUCAGAUUCCAAUUAAUGAUGGGUUAAUUUUUCUUUUUACUCCAGAUCUUGUCUGUUUUCAUUUUGGUAGAGAAGUCAUAUUCUAAAUGUUUUGUUGGGAUCCAUACAAGUUCUUGUUAAUGCUCUGGUUGACUUUACGUUUGGUGCAGUUAUAUGUGUACAAUUUGAUCAUAAUAGAUAAGAUAUUAGUGGGUUGGAUUGAUUGGUCUAGAGACUAGAUGUUAACUUAAAUUAUAUUAAUUGGUUUACAUUUAUUUAAAAUUUAAAAUUAUUAAAUUUUAAUUUAUCGGCUUUUAGUUGGGUUGGAUUUUAAAAAUACAAUCUAAAAGUAAAAUUCUAUUUAAAUAAAAUUAUAUAUGAUUGUAUAAUUAAAUUAAAUGAAUAGAUAGAAUUAAAUAAAUAAAAAUUAAUUUAAAAAAAUAAAGAUCAAAAUUCAGUAUUAUUCUUUUAUGAUAAAAAGUAGAACUAAGAAAUAAUUUUAAGAGAUUAAGAGAAGAGAGCGUCAACAUGAAAAAGCAAACUAUUAUCUAAAGCCUUAGAGUUAUGAAAGAAAAAAAAAUUAUAUAUAUAUAAAACGAUAUAAUUUUAUAUAACACGUGUUCUAUAUAUAAUUUUUAAUUUUUAAUUUUAUAUCAGAUUGAGUUAGAUUUUACUAUAUUUUUUAAAGUAAAAUCUUAGUCCAACCUACUCUUACUUGGUUUUAGAAAUUUUCAAACCAUUUUCAAUCCAAAACAGUUUAAAUCUAAUAUAUAUCUUUUUUCACUUUUUAUUGAGUUUUUUUGGAUUAACCGAUUUGGGAGAAUACCCUAAUAAUAGAUCUAUGAAAAUGCUAGCAAGGCUCAACACUCUGUGUAGAUUCCCUUUCUUUCUGGAGUUAGUCAAUUUUAUUAUUAUUUUAAUAAAAUAUGUAUUAUUAUUGAUGUAAUUUAAUAUUUUUAAUUAAUAAUUAAAAAAUAAAAUUUAUAGUCAACUCCCUCUUAAAUGUAACUACAAUUUAAUUUUAACGCUCGAUUGUUAUUUAAAAAUUUAAAUUCAUUACUUGAACCUUGAAAUUGAAUUGUGCAACAGCAACACAAACCGAAAAUUAACAAACUGAGCCCGACCUUAAUUGAAUUAAUUAAUUAAGGCGUGAGUUAAGUAAAUUGGUGAAAUGUAGAAUUCAACUAAUAAAAUUUGACUUGGGUUUAACGAAUACCAAAAUGACUAGAACUAGCCACUUGAUUGUUGAUAUGUUCAUAUUAUAUAUAUAUAUAUAUUUAAGGAGCUGUAGUGAUUUAUUGGUAUAUUUUAUAUACAUAAUAUGUAGAAAUAUGUGCUUAUUACCUCACUUUAGCUUUAUUGUUUAAUUUCAAGAGUUAAUAACUAAAAAGAAAAAAUACGAGCUAAAUAUUCAUAAACGAGCUUAAAUUGGACUGCCACUGCUGAGACUCAGAAUAAAGACGCAUGGACUACUAACUUUACAGGCCUAGCCGAAUAUAUGAAGACCCACAAAGAGAUAUUAAUUAAUUAUUAUACAAUUAUGGAUAACUACUUUUAAGUUGUUUGUUUUUAUUUAAGAUAAUUAAAAGAUAAUUAUUAGAGGUGUUUUGUUUAAAAAAGAACUUUGCAGAAGGAAUCUCUACAAGUAGUAGAGAUCAAUUAAAUAAAAAAGAGUUCAGUUUGUACCUGUCCAACUGGGCCACUAAAACUGGACAUCCAAAUAAAAAAUCAAAAAAAUUAAAAAACUGAACUAGAUCUACAUUGAUACUAUAUUAGAAAUUGAAUUAAUUAAUUAAAAAAAUUAAAUAUAUAAAUGACAUAUAAAAUCUAAUUAAUAGAAUUGGGUUUGAGUCUAUUUAAUAAUAAAAUGACUAUAACUAAUAAUUUGGUUGGUUGAAGUAUUUUUUAUUCUUUUAAUAAUGUCGGAUCUCUAACAAAAGUUAUUAACAUUAUUAAUGGAGAUGUAAUAACUAAUUAAAUAAAAAUUUAUGUAAUAAAUAAUUAAAUAAUUAUUUUUGCAUAAGAUAUGUGAUCACGUCAAUAUUUUUAUUUUUAUAGUACGAGGAGAUGUACUAAUAUUGUUUUAAGUACCUCAACUAGCAAGUAAACAAUUUUAUAUAUAUAUAUAUAUAUAUAUAUAUAUAUAUAUAAAGAUAUGGGUUGACCAAAGCAGAUAUUAUGAAACCCUUUGGAAAAAGAGAUAAAAACAAACUAUAAUUGAGGCCAAUUUAUAAUUAUUAAAGGUUUCUUUUUACUUAUAUAAUGAAGCCUUGGAAUCACAAACUCUGUAACAAAGGAAAAAAAAAAAAUACUAGUAAGAAGUGAGAAGCAUAGAGAAAGAGAGAGAGAGAGGGAAAGAAAAGAUGGUUCUUCGAUUUGCUUAUUGUAUUAUUUUCUUUCAUAUUUUGCUUUUGAUGGUAACUUCUUGCUUCUACUUGAAAGCAUGCCUUCGAGUCUUAUUAUCAAUAAACAUAGUUCAUUAUAUGAUUGUUUCUUUUUCAACAGAUUUAGAACUUUUAUUAUUCUGAAACAAUAAUUUGGUUCGUUUCCUUUUCCAAUUUUGUUUAUAUUUUUUUAUUGUGAAAGAAAAUGCCAAAAGAAAAAAAGAUUUUCAUCCUUGGCUAAGUUUAUCAAGUAUGCAGUUUAGUGAGCUACUGACCACAUUUUGGUUAUGUAAAACAACAAUAAACUUGGCGAAAUUCUAAGACAUACCAAGAUGUUCAAUUUUCCUUAUCACUAUUAAUUUUAUAUUUAUGGUCAUUAAAUUUUGCGGUAGUUAUACAUUAAUCUACAUGACAAUUGAGUCUAAUUUAUCUUCUUUUUCUGAUGUAUAAUCUCAUGUGCAGAGUGGCCAUGCAAAAGGAAUCCGAGAAGUACCUAACCAAGAGCAUUCCCACCAAAAUAUAAAGGAUGUUGUCAAGGAUAAAUCAGUUCAACUGUAUUACAAAAUCCUGGGCGAGCUUUUCAAAAGGCCUGCAACUGUUGGUCCUCCAGGGCCUGGAUUACCAGGAAAAGGAAUGGAAUUUGAUGACUUUGUGUUUGAUUACAUUGAAGCUCCAUUUAUAGGCUUGUUCACUCCUGAUGAUAUAUAUGUUGGCAAGGUUUUGCCUAUCUAUUUUCCUGUUCAAGACCGUUCUUCUUACCUUCCUUUCACCAUUCAAAACGAAAUGGUUGAUUCUUCCAUUACUUAUCCAUUGUCUGACCUGCCAAAGAUUUUCCAGCCC
This 11671-nucleotide long non-coding RNA is filed under the name Ricinus communis (castor bean). Its description in RNAcentral is "long non-coding RNA (RCOM_LNC001465)". The record is from RNAcentral. Lineage: Eukaryota; Viridiplantae; Streptophyta; Magnoliopsida; Malpighiales; Euphorbiaceae.